ACAAAACAAAGCUAUUAUAAAGAUGUUUGUCAUUUACUGAUAUCUUCCAUAUAUUCCCCCAAACUGGGUGUCCUCAGUAAGGAAUAACAAUGAGCAAAUUCAGUGUUACAGUGUUAUCUGUUCUUUAAUGCCUUACUGGAACACAUGAAAGGAAAAUGAAGACAUAGGAACCGGGGGUGAUUUGUUUCUAGACCAUGAUGAGGGACUUGGAAUUUGCCAAUGCAGGACACACAAGUCCCUGGCAGGGCGGUCAUGACGUAGUGAAGACGACACCAUGUUCCGUAAGAUGCUUUCGGAAUGCAACGUCCAGGAAGCCUCCAAAGGAAUUUUGCAGGAAACCAAUAUGGAUACUUUGAAAAUAAAAGGAAAGGAAAAAAGAAAAAAAAAAAAACCUGUCAACAACCCAUCACUGGCAGCAGGGGAGUGUGCAUAAAUGCGGGUGGGGGACAAAGGCUCGGGACUGGAGCUAAGCCGGUGUGAAUCGAGGCUGCAUGUGCCUGGGUGUAGUGGACCGUGCACACUUGGGGAAAUGCACGUGGUGCAAUGAGCCUCUCCAUUUUCAGAAUUGUGAGGGUGAGCGAGAGGGGCUGCCCGGCGUGUGCAGACUCUGCGCCGGCUCGUCUGUUUGGGGAGCUGUUGGUUAUCUUUAGGGAUGGGAAGACAUACAAGAAAGCAACCAGUUACUGGAUUAUAUGAGGAAGGCUGUGACAGAGGCCAUACCGGAUGCUGCAGGAACACAGAAAAAGAAGGAUCUACGCCCUUUGAUGAAUUCCCAGGAAGCCUUCCCAGAUGUGUCAGUGGGCUCUUGAAGGGUGCUCAUCUACUGGAAAGGCUUCAACUUUCACCUUUGCUGAUGACGUUCCAGUCCCAGUCUGCCCAAUCUGAAUUCUUCCUCAGCCUCUGCUUAGCUUCCUAUCCUCCGUUCCUUCUCCUAUGAUCUAGGCAGACAUUGAGGAUUAUGCCUGGCACAUUUUCUCAGAGGGCCAAGGCACAGCCUUAAUUUUCUACUCAACUGGGAGCUCUAGGCACCCAUUACCAUUCAGAGUUGGCAUUCGAGACAAAAACUAUUUUUUUCCUGAAUCUAGUCCUUUUAAUUUUAAGCACCUUAAGGAAUAUACCUUUUAAAGUGUCUUGAAGGAUUUCAUUCCCCCAUUCAUUCAGCAAACUGUAAAGAGCUUCCCAUGUGCUGCCUGUUGAAUGCAACAUCCUCCCUCUCAAACCCUCUCCUGCUCAACAGGUCCCCUGCUAUCAAUGAUACCAGCAAUAGCACUGAAAGAAUAAAUAUACACCAGAUAACACAGGUGAGUGGGCACAGCUCUCCAUGCCACCCUAGUUCCUCACAAAGGCAUGCCCAAUAUUUGGAGGUACUGACAGCCUUAGAGGAAGGAGAAAUCCACCAGGUCAGAAAAAUUCUGAGCUGUAGGCUUGCUGCCUUUCUUACCUACAUUUGAGGAAAGGCCAGGUUAGCAUCCAAGAGUCCACCCUAUCACCAUAUAAAGAAUUCCAUGCCAGACACAUAUACUUCUAUUUCCUAAUGCUGGUCCUGGGUCUACAGUGGUCUUAUUAUAAUCAGUAGACCAUUCUAGUUCAAGCCCUUAUCCCCUCCUAUAUGGAUAACUGUAACAGACUCUCCUCUCCAGUUCAUCCUAUAAAUGCCAUAGCCAAACUCUACCCCAAUUUUAACUCCUAGUAAUUACUGAUUUGUUCUAUAGGUUGGUGCAACAGUAAUUGCGGUUUUCACCAUUAAAAGUAAUGGCGAAAGUAAUGCUUAGCCUCCUAUUUGGCGAAACUGUAAUGGUGAAAACUGUAAUUACUGUUGCAUCAACCUAAUACAACACUGCAAUUUUGUUUUUUAAGAAUUUCAAAUAGGCCAGGCACGGUGGCUCACACCUGUAAUCCCAGCACUUUGG
Molecule: long non-coding RNA, 1910 nt
Filed under: Homo sapiens (human)
Lineage: Eukaryota; Metazoa; Chordata; Mammalia; Primates; Hominidae
Description: HSALNT0351303
Source: RNAcentral